Molecule: ribosomal RNA, 301 nt
Filed under: uncultured bacterium
Lineage: Bacteria
Description: partial 16S ribosomal RNA
Rfam family: Bacterial small subunit ribosomal RNA
Source: RNAcentral
CAGUCGCCACGGUAAUACGUAGGUGGCAAGCGUUGUCCGGAAUUAUUGGGCGUAAAGGGCUCGCAGGCGGUUUCUUAAGUCUGAUGUGAAAGCCCCCGGCUCAACCGGGGAGGGUCAUUGGAAACUGGGAAACUUGAGUGCAGAAGAGGAGAGUGGAAUUCCACGUGUAGCGGUGAAAUGCGUAGAGAUGUGGAGGAACACCAGUGGCGAAGGCGACUCUCUGGUCUGUAACUGACGCUGAGGAGCGAAAGCGUGGGGAGCGAACAGGAUUAGAUACCCCAGUAGUCCCUGUCUCUUAUAC